This 253-nucleotide ribosomal RNA is filed under the name uncultured bacterium. RNAcentral's name for it is "partial 16S ribosomal RNA". It matches the Rfam family "Bacterial small subunit ribosomal RNA", at positions 524 to 776 of the family's 1533-position model. The record is from RNAcentral.
UACGGAGGGUGCGAGCGUUGUUCGGAAUCAUUGGGCGUAAAGGGUGCGUAGGCGGUCGAGUAAGUCUGACGUGAAAUCCCUUGGCUCAACCAAGGAACUGCGUCUUAAACUGCUCGGCUUGAGUCCGGGAGAGGGUAGUGGAAUUCCCAGUGUAGCGGUGAAAUGCGUAGAUAUUGGGAGGAACACCGGUGGCGAAGGCGGCUACCUGGACCGGUACUGACGCUGAGGCGCGAAAGCUAGGGUAGCAAACAGG